GCCAUUAUGAAGAGUCUUACUAG
Molecule: non-coding RNA, 23 nt
Filed under: Cricetulus griseus (Chinese hamster)
Lineage: Eukaryota; Metazoa; Chordata; Mammalia; Rodentia; Cricetidae
Source: RNAcentral